UGUUCCCCUUCCUGUGUCCAAGUGUUCUCAUUGUUCAAUUCCCACCUAUGAGUGAGAACAUGGCGGUGUUUGGUUUUCUUUCCUUGUGAUAGUUUGCUGAGAAUGAUGGUUUCCAGCUUCAUCCAUGUCCCUACAAAGGACAUGAACUCAUCCUUUUUAUGGCUGCAUCGUAUUCCAUGGUGUAUAUGUGCCACAUUUUCUUAAUCCAGUCUAUCAUUGAUGGACAUUUGAGUUGGUUCAAAGUCUCUGCUAUUGUGAAUAGUGCUGCAAUAAACAUACAUGUGCGCAGCAUGAUUUAUAAUCCUCUGGGUAUAUACCCAGUAAUGGGAUGGCUGGGUCAAAUGGUAUUUCUAGUUCUACAUCCCUGAGGAAUUGCCACACUGACUUCCACAAUGGUUGAACUAGUUUACAGUCCCACCAACAGUGUAAAAGUGUUCCUAUUUCUCCACAUCCUCUCCAGCACCUGUUGUUUCCUGACUUUUUAAUGAUUGUCAUUCUAACUGGUGUGAGAUGGUAUCUCAUUGUGGUUUUGAUUUGCAUUUCUCUGAUAGCCAGUGAUGAUGAGCAUUUUUUCAUGUCUGUUGGCUGCAUAAAUGUCUUCUUUUGAGAAGUGUCUGUUCAUAUCCGGCACCCACUUUCUGAUGGGGUUGUUUGAUUUUUUCUUGUAAAUUUGUUUAAGUUCUUUGUAGAUUCUGGAUAUUAGCCCUUUGUCAGAUGGGUAGAUUGUAAAAAUUUUCUCCCAUUCUGCAGGUUGCCUGUUCACUGUGAUGGUAGUUUCUUUUGCUGUGCAGAAGCUCUUUAGUUAAAUUAGAUCCUAUUUGUCAAUUUUGGCUUUUGUUGCCAUUGCCUUUGGUGUUUUAGUCAUGAAGUCCUUGCCCAUGCCUAUGUCCUCAAUGGUAUUGCCUACGUUUUCUUCUAGGGUUUUUAUGGUUUUAGGUCUAACAUUUAAGUCUUUAAUCCAUCUUGAAUUAAUUUUUGUAUAAGGUGUAAGGAAGGGACCCAUUUUCAGCUUUCUACAUAUGGCUAGCCAGUUUUCCUGGCACCAUUUAUUAAAUAGGGAAUCCUUUCUCCAUUUCUUGUUUUUGUCAGGAUUGUCAAAAUCAGAUGGUUGUAGAUGUGUGGUAUUAUUUCUGAGGGCUCUGUCCUGUUCCAUUGGUCUGUAUCUCUGUUUUGGUACCAGUACCAUGCUGUUUUGGUUACUGUAGCCUUGUAGUAUAGUUUGAAGUAGGUAGUGUGAUGCCUCCAGCUUUGUUCUUUGGCUUAGGAUUGUCUUGGCAAUGCGGGCUCUUUUUUGGUUCCGUAUGAGCUUUAAAGUAGUUUUUUCCAAUUCUGUGAAGAAAGGCAUUGGUAGCUUGAUGGGAAUGGCAUUGAAUCUAUAAAUUACCUUGGGCAGUAUGGCCGUUUUCACAAUAUUGAUUCUUCCUAUCCAUGAGCAUGGAAUAUUCUUCCAUUUGUUUGUGACCUCUUUUGUUGAGCAGUGAUUUGCAGUUCUCCUUGAAGAGGUCCUUCACAUCCCUUGUAAGUUGGAUUCCUAGGUAUUUUAUUCUCUUUGUAGCAAUUGUGAAUGGGAGUUCACUCAUGAUUUGGCUCUCUGUCUGUUAUUGGUGUAGAGGAAUGCUUGUGAUUUUUGCACAUUGAUUUUGUAUCCUGAGACUUUGCUGAAGUUGCCUAUCAGCUUAAGGAGAUUUUGGGCUGAGACAAUGGGGUUUUCUAAAUAUACAAUCAUGUCAUCUGCAAACAGGGACAAUUUGACUUCCUCUUUUCCUAACUGAAUACCCUUUAUUUCUUUCUCUCGCCUGAUUGCCCCGGCCAGAACUUCCAACAUUAUGAUGAAUAGAAGUAGUGACAGAGGGCAUCCCUGCUUGUGCCAGCUUUCAAAGGGAAUACUUCCAGUUUUUGCCCAUUCAGUAUGAUACUGGCUGUGGGUUUGUCAUAGAUAGCUCUUAUUAUUUUGAGAUAGGUCCCAUCAAUACCUAAUUUAUUGAGAGUUUUUAUUUAGCAUGAAGUGUUGUUGAAUUUUGUCAAAGGCCUUUUCUGCAUCUAUUGAGAUAAUCAUGUGGUUUUUGUCUUUGGUUCUGUUUAUAUGCUGGAUUACGUUUAUUGAUUUUCGUAUGUUGAACCAGCCUUGCAUCCCAGGGAUGAAGCCCACUUGAUCAUGGUGGAUAAGCUUUUUGCUGUGCUGCUGGAUUCAGUUUGCCAGUAUUUUACUGAGGAUUUUUGCAUCAAUGUUCAUCAAGGGUAUUGGUCUAAAAUUCUCAUUUUUUGUUGUGUCUCUGCCAGGCUUUAGUAUCAGGAUGAUGCUGGCCUCAUAAAAAGAGUUAGGGAGGAUUCCCUCUUUUUCUAUUGAUUGGAAUAGUUUGAGAACGAAUGAUACCAGCUCCUCUUUGUACCUCUGGUAGAAUUUGGCUGUGAAUCCAUCUGGUCCUGGACCCUUUUUGGUUGGUAAGCUAUUAAUUAUUGCCUCAAUUUCAGAGCCUGUUAUUGGUGUAUUCAGAGAUUCAACUUCUUCCUGGUUUAGUCUUUGGAGGGUGUAUGUGUGCAGGAAUUUAUCCAUUUCUUCUAGAUUUUCUAGUUUAUUUGUGUAGAGGUGUUUAUAGUAUUCUCUGAUGGCAGUUUGUAUUUUUGUGGGAUCGGUGGUGAUAUCCCCUUUAUCAUUUUUUAUUGCAUCUAUUUGAUUCUUCUCUCUUUUCUUCUUUAUUAGUCUUGCUAGCAGUCUGUCAAUUUUGUUGAUCGUUUCAAAAACCCAGCUCCUGGAUUGAUUGUUUUUGAAGGGUUUUUUAUGUCUCUAUCUCCUUCAGUUCUGCUCUGAUCUUAGUUAUUUCUUGUCUUCUGCUAGCUUUUGAAUUUGUUUGCUCUUGCUUCUCUAGUACUUUUAAUUGUGAUAUUAGGGUGUCAAUUUUAGAUCUUUCCUGCUUUCUCUUGUGGGCAUUUAGUGCUAUAAAUUUCCCUCUACACACUGCUUUAAAUGUGUCGCAGAUAUUCUGUUAUGUUGUGUCUUUGUUCUCAUUGGUUUCAAAGAACAUCUUUAUUUCUGCAUUCAUUUUGUUAUGUACCCAGUAGUCAUUCAGGAGCCGGUUGUUCAGUUCCCAUGUAGUUGAGCGGUUUUGAGUGAGUUUCUUAAUCCUGAGUUCUAAUUUGAUUGCACUGUGGUCUGAGAGACAGUAUCUUGUGAUUUCUGUUCUUUUACAUUUGCUGAGGAGUGUUUUACUUCCAAUUAUGUGGUCAAUUUUGGAAUAAGUGUGAUGUGGUGUUGAGAAGAAUGUAUAUUCUGUCGAUUUGGGGUGGAGAGUUCAGUAGAUGUCUGUUAGGUCUGCUUGGUGCAGAGCUGAGUUCAAGUCCCAGAUAUCCUUGUUAACCUUCUGUCUCAUUGAUCUGUCUAAUAUUGACAGUGGGUGUUAAAGUCUCCCAUUAUUUAAAAAAAAAAAAACUGUUGACAAAGGUGUGAGAAAACUGGUUCUCUCUUACCUUGCUGGCAAGAAUGUAAAUUGGUUCAACCUUUACAGAGGAAAUUUGGCAGCAUCUACCAAAAUGAAAAAUUACAUUCCUUGUAUAAAUGUGUGAUAAGUGAUAAAUUACACUCUUUGAUCUAGCAAUUAAUCUACUCCUAGGAUACAUCUAAGAUAUACAAAUACCCUUGUACAUAUUCCGGUCAUACAUGGUAAUUCAUUAAAGGGUUGUUGAUAACAGCAAAAGAUUGAAACAAGAACUAUCCAUUAGUAAGGGGCUGGUUAAUUACAUUUUGAUAUACACAUAAG
RNAcentral lists this long non-coding RNA (3755 nucleotides) under Homo sapiens (human). RNAcentral describes it as "HSALNT0057089". Lineage: Eukaryota; Metazoa; Chordata; Mammalia; Primates; Hominidae. The record is from RNAcentral.